GCAAACUUGGUCAUUUAGAGGAAGUAAAAGUCGUAACAAGGUUUCCGUAGGUGAACCUGCGGAAGGAUCAUUACUGAAUUACCGAAGGGUUGUCGCUGACUUCUUAGGAAGUACGUGCACGCCUUUCAAAUUCAUCUUAACCACCUGUGCACCUGUGUAGACUUGGCACCUCUCGGUCUUUUAUUAGGCUGGAUGGAGGGACUUGCGUUUAAGCUGUCCUUCAAUGCCAUUGUCUAUGUUUAUCUAUCUACUAUAUUGUCCAGAAUGUCGUUAUUAGGUCUUGUGCCUAUAAACUUAUACAACUUUCAACAACGGAUCUCUUGGCUCUCGCAUCGAUGAAGAACGCAGC
RNAcentral lists this unclassified non-coding RNA (349 nucleotides) under uncultured fungus. RNAcentral describes it as "partial contains small subunit ribosomal RNA, internal transcribed spacer 1, and 5.8S ribosomal RNA". The stretch from base 1 to 73 matches the Rfam family "Eukaryotic small subunit ribosomal RNA", at positions 1759 to 1831 of the family's 1831-position model. Lineage: Eukaryota; Fungi. The record is from RNAcentral.